Small nucleolar RNA from Lupinus angustifolius (narrow-leaved blue lupine), 93 nucleotides. It matches the Rfam family "Small nucleolar RNA snR60/Z15/Z230/Z193/J17". Rfam says of the family: The members of this family belong to the C/D class of snoRNAs which contain the C (UGAUGA) and D (CUGA) box motifs. Most of the members of the box C/D family function in directing site-specific 2'-O-methylation of substrate RNAs. The family includes the yeast snoRNA snR60 (also known as Z15) and the corresponding human guide snoRNA U80 (SNORD80). Lineage: Eukaryota; Viridiplantae; Streptophyta; Magnoliopsida; Fabales; Fabaceae. The record is from Rfam.
AGGGUUCAAAUGAUGAUUUUAAAUGCAUAGUUCAGAUGAUUAUCUGUGAUUACUAAUUUGUUAAUAGUCUUUCGCUCCUAUCUGAUGAUCCCU